RNAcentral lists this long non-coding RNA (866 nucleotides) under Pan troglodytes (chimpanzee). RNAcentral's name for it is "lincRNA". The stretch from base 12 to 85 matches the Rfam family "mir-1247 microRNA precursor family". Lineage: Eukaryota; Metazoa; Chordata; Mammalia; Primates; Hominidae. The record is from RNAcentral.
CAGCCCCGGCCGCUGGGCGCACCCGUCCCGUUCGUCCCCGGACGUUGCUCUCUACCCCGGGAACGUCGAGACUGGAGCGCCCGAACUGAGCCACCUUCGCGGACCCCGAGAGCGGCGGCGCGACUCACCGCGGAGGCGCCCGGACGCGUCAAGCCCAGCCCAAUAGGAAGCACCUGAUCCACACUCUUUCUAGCCCCAGGGAUGCUCAGGAAAGCAGCCUUUCUUUAGGGCUGUCAUCUGUUCUGGGGAUCUGUUGCUGUUUCUUGGGCCCACAGAAUACACUCCACACCUCGGGACUCUAUAAUAUUGGACAAGGCUGGAAGGCCCAUUUGGCUCCUGCAGCCUCUUAUGCAGGAGGACCUCCUGAGGCUUCGAGCAGGAGCUGGUGCACACCUGGAGGAGAGUGCUGGUGAAUGGCAGGUGUGUGCCUCAGUGUCCUUGCUGCCUGGGUGUCAGCCCUGCUUCACCACUGGCCCUUUGUCUCUGUCCCCUCCACUGGCCUGUUGAAGCACAGAGACCCUCCGGGUACUUUCCUUCCUCUGGGCUUCCACUCAUGCUAUUCCCUGCUCCCUUCUUCUACCUGGAGACCCCCAUUCCUCCUCCUCCUCUGCUGCCCUCACCUCCACCUGGGCCCUCCCAGCUCCUGGGAGAUGGCUAAACCCCACUCCCCACCCGCUAGUCAUCCUCUUCAGCGGUCCUCCCAGAGCUGUCCUCGGCAUGGCAGCCUCCACAGCCCCUGGGUGUCACCCCCGGUUUCGUGUCUGCCUUGGACUCCAGACCUGCCCCUCCCAGGCUGGCCCAGAUGGAUCCUCUGCAGUGACUAACCCAAACCAGCACCAGGCAGGGACCCAAUAAACCUUCGUGAA